AACGAACGCUGGCGGCAGGCUUAACACAUGCAAGUCGAACGCCCCGCAAGGGGAGUGGCAGACGGGUGAGUAACGCGUGGGAAUCUACCGUACCCUACGGAAUAACGCAUGGAAACGUGUGCUAAUACCGUAUACGCCCUAGGGGGAAAGAUUUAUCGGGGUAUGAUGAGCCCGCGUUGGAUUAGCUAGUUGGUGGGGUA
Molecule: ribosomal RNA, 200 nt
Filed under: uncultured bacterium
Lineage: Bacteria
Description: partial 16S ribosomal RNA
Rfam family: Bacterial small subunit ribosomal RNA
Source: RNAcentral